UACGGAGGGUGCAAGCGUUGUCCGGAUUUAUUGGGUUUAAAGGGUGCGUAGGCGGCUGUUUAAGUCAGUGGUGAAAGACAUCGGCUCAACCGAUGCAGUGCCAUUGAUACUGGGCAGCUUGAGUGUUGGAGGGGUACAUGGAAUUGAUGGUGUAGCGGUGAAAUGCAUAGAUACCAUCAGGAACACCGAUAGCGAAGGCAUUGUACUGGCCAACAACUGACGCUGAGGCACGAAAGCAUGGGGAGCGAACAGG
Molecule: ribosomal RNA, 253 nt
Filed under: uncultured bacterium
Lineage: Bacteria
Description: partial 16S ribosomal RNA
Rfam family: Bacterial small subunit ribosomal RNA
Source: RNAcentral